CCCACUUCUCGGCCUUUUGGCUAAGAUCAAGUGUAGUAUCCUAUUCCUUUUACAUUCUUGCUGUUAUUCUUAGCAAGCCUUUAUUUUUAUACACAUUAAGUUCAGUGAGAGAGAGUGUGAGCUGUUGCACUAGUUAAAGGCACUAGGCUAGAAACU
Molecule: small nuclear RNA, 156 nt
Filed under: Pseudonaja textilis
Lineage: Eukaryota; Metazoa; Chordata; Lepidosauria; Squamata; Elapidae
Description: U2 spliceosomal RNA (ENSPTXG00000017594.1)
Rfam family: U2 spliceosomal RNA
About the family: U2 is a small nuclear RNA (snRNA) component of the spliceosome (involved in pre-mRNA splicing). Complementary binding between U2 snRNA (in an area lying towards the 5' end but 3' to hairpin I) and the branchpoint sequence (BPS) of the intron results the bulging out of an unpaired adenosine, on the BPS, which initiates a nucleophilic attack at the intronic 5' splice site, thus starting the first of two transesterification reactions that mediate splicing.
Source: Rfam by way of RNAcentral